AGGGAAUUUUCGGCAAUGGGGGAAACCCUGACCGAGCAAUGCCGCGUGAACGAUGAAGAUCUUCGGAUUGUAAAGUUCUGUUAUCGGGAAAGAAUAGCGAAGCGAGGAAAUGCGCUUUGUAUGACGGUACCCGAUGAGAAAGCCCCGGCUAACUAUGUGCCAGCAGCCGCGGUAAUACAUAGGGGGCAAGCGUUAUCCGGAAUUAUUGGGCGUAAAGCGUGUGUAGGCGGUCUAUUAAGUCUGGCGUGAAAUUCCACAGCUUAACUGUGGAGGGUCGUUGGAAACUGGUAGGCUUGAGUACGGCAGAGGUAAGUGGAAUUCCAAGUGGAGCGGUGGAAUGCGUAGAUAUUUGGAGGAACACCAGUGGCGAAGGCGGCUUACUGGGCCGGAACUGACGCUGAGACACGAAAGCGUGGGGAGCAAAC
RNAcentral lists this ribosomal RNA (425 nucleotides) under uncultured bacterium. Its description in RNAcentral is "bacterial SSU rRNA". It matches the Rfam family "Bacterial small subunit ribosomal RNA", at positions 356 to 773 of the family's 1533-position model. The record is from RNAcentral.